AACGCGAAGAACCUUACCCAGACUUGACAUCCUUGGAAGGCUUCAGAGAUGAGGCCGUGCCCGCAAGGGAGCCAGGAGACAGGUGCUGCAUGGCUGUCGUCAGCUCGUGUCGUGAGAUGUUGGGUUAAGUCCCGCAACGAGCGCAACCCUCGCCUUUAGUUGCCAGCAUUCAGUUGGGCACUCUAGAGGGACUGCCGGUGUCAAGCCGGAGGAAGGUGGGGAUGACGUCAAGUCCUCAUGGCCUUUAUGUCUGGGGCUACACACGUGCUACAAUGGUCGGUACAGAGGGCUGCAAAGGCGCGAGCCGGAGCCAAUCCCAGAAAACCGAUCCCAGUUCGGAUCGAAGUCUGCAACUCGACUUCGUGAAGUCGGAAUCGCUAGUAAUCGCGGAUCAGAACGCCGCGGUGAAUACGUUCCCGGGCCUUGUACACACCGGCUAC
This 440-nucleotide ribosomal RNA is filed under the name uncultured bacterium. Its description in RNAcentral is "bacterial SSU rRNA". It matches the Rfam family "Bacterial small subunit ribosomal RNA", at positions 958 to 1397 of the family's 1533-position model. The record is from RNAcentral.